Long non-coding RNA from Metopolophium dirhodum (rose-grain aphid), 1229 nucleotides. RefSeq lists it as uncharacterized. The transcript has 3 exons. The record is from RefSeq and is a predicted model, not a curated record. NCBI's taxonomy places the organism in Eukaryota, Metazoa, Arthropoda, Insecta, Hemiptera, Aphididae.
GCAAGAAUUAGCGGUAUAGUUUGAAAACUUACCAAAGUUAUCUGGUGGAUGUCGAUACGUUGGUGAGCAGCCGUCACACAUCGGUCUGAUAUAGCUACGGAAAGUUAUUAUUGGAUCGGUCAUAAUAUUACGUUGAAAAGUUAUCUGUUCAUGAACUCAUUUGCAGAUUUGUUGAGGUGUAACAGCAUUUUAGGGGCUAUUGUAAUUCCCACUUUAUCAUACAUAUAGCCCGAUGACCUACAUUUUUGUGUACUCUGGUCUACCCUAUGAUGGCCGCGAGUAACGAUCACGUCACCGUUUAUCAGAUUGCCCAGUUUAAAAGAGUAUCCAACAAUUUCAUCGGAUAGGUACGCCAUAAAUCAUGGCAUAGCGCUGGGCCAGCAUAAUUUUGUCCGGAUCAAUAUCUACAAAAAUGACAUCCCAAUUAUUAGAAGCUAAUAAUAUAGUGUCUUUGUCGAACAGUCAGCUGUACGAAAUUUCCGCUGCGCCACAAAACGGGUCGACGCCGGUCGCUGAACAUGGGAAGUCCUCAAGUCCACCCAGAAUCGUAUUGAUGAAUCAACAAUACAUCUUACAUCUUACAUCUUAAAUCUAACAUCUUAAAUCGUACAUAUAUCAUUGCAAUCUUAUAAUUAUUCACCUGAAUGCAUGUAAUCCUGAAUGUACAGUUAAUUUAUUGCUACCCAUCUACAAAGUCAACACUGUAUUAAUAAAAGUAUUUAUUGAUAAAAUAAAAUUGAAUUCUACAUUAUUUGUAGGUACUUAAUAAUUAUUUGGGUAUAAAGGAAACAUAUUUUAAUCAUACAUAACUAGAUAAACUAAAAGCAAAAAUAAUAAGUAAAUACGUAGUGUUAAAAAUAGUUUUUAAUUAAUAUAGGUAGGAUAGGUACCUAUUAUGUAGGUAGGUACUUAUCCAAAACUCGUUUAUCAGGAAUUAAAUAAAAAGGGAGGUCAAUAAAAAAAAAAAAAAAAAUUGGAAGUGACUCUGCUGAACAGUAGGUUACUAGUGGGUCACUGUAAUGGAUGGUGUUAAAUUUGAUUUCAAUGAUUUAAUAUCAUUUUAUACGAAAAACAAUUUUAAGUGGAGACCAUUUGUCAGCCUAGGAUAUUGUAUACUAUACUUAUAUUGAUAUUAUUAAAUAUUAUUAAUAUCGUAGCCGGUUAAGGUGAAUUAUUAUUAUUUAUUUAUUAUCAUAUUUGUAUAUGAUAAUAUAUUUUAGACGUUUCAA